RNAcentral lists this ribosomal RNA (492 nucleotides) under uncultured bacterium. Its description in RNAcentral is "partial 16S ribosomal RNA". It matches the Rfam family "Bacterial small subunit ribosomal RNA", at positions 30 to 507 of the family's 1533-position model. The record is from RNAcentral.
AUUGAACGCUGGCGGCAUGCUUUACACAUGCAAGUCGAACGGUAACAGGCCUUCGGGUGCUGACGAGUGGCGAACGGGUGAGUAAUGCAUCGGAACGUGCCCAGAGGUGGGGGAUAACGCAGCGAAAGCUGUGCUAAUACCGCAUGUGAUCUGAGGAUGAAAGCGGGGGACCACGCAGCAAUGUUUGGCCUCGCGCCUCUGGAGCGGCCGAUGUCAGAUUAGGUAGUUGGUGGGGUAAAGGCCUACCAAGCCGACGAUCUGUAGCUGGUCUGAGAGGACGACCAGCCACACUGGGACUGAGACACGGCCCAGACUCCUACGGGAGGCAGCAGUGGGGAAUUUUGGACAAUGGGCGCAAGCCUGAUCCAGCAAUGCCGCGUGCGGGAAGAAGGCCUUCGGGUUGUAAACCGCUUUUGUACGGAACGAAAAGGCUCUGGCUAAUACCUGGGGCUGAUGACGGUACCAUAAGAAUAAGCACCGACUAACUACGUG